CCUACGGGAGGCUGCAGUGAGGAAUAUUGGUCAAUGGGCGCAAGCCUGAACCAGCCAAGUAGCGUGAAGGAUGAAUGCCCUACGGGUUGUAAACUUCUUUUAUAAAGGAAUAAAGUGCGGCACGUGUGCCUUUUUGUAUGUACUUUAUGAAUAAGGAUCGGCUAACUCCGUGCCAGCAGCCGCGGUAAUCCGGAGGAUCCGAGCGUUAUCCGGAUUUAUUGGGUUUAAAGGGAGCGUAGAUGGGUUGUUAAGUCAGUUGUGAAAGUUUGGGGCUCAACCGUAAAAUUGCAAUUGAUACUGGCAGCCUUGAGUACAGUUGAGGUAGGCGGAAUUCGUGGUGUAGCGGUGAAAUGCUUAGAUAUUGCGAAGAACUCCGAUUGCGAAGGCAGCCUACUAAACUGCCACUGACAUUGAGGCUCGAAAGUGUGGGUAUCAAACAGGAUUAGAUACCCCUGUAGUC
This 460-nucleotide ribosomal RNA is filed under the name uncultured bacterium. Its description in RNAcentral is "partial 16S ribosomal RNA". It matches the Rfam family "Bacterial small subunit ribosomal RNA", at positions 338 to 795 of the family's 1533-position model. The record is from RNAcentral.